This 77-nucleotide non-coding RNA is filed under the name Escherichia coli. RNAcentral's name for it is "partial RtT sRNA". It matches the Rfam family "RtT RNA", at positions 54 to 130 of the family's 130-position model. From Rfam's summary of the family: This family represents a bacterial cis-regulatory element known as RtT RNA. The exact function of RtT is unknown although it is thought that it may be involved in changing the cellular response in relation to amino acid starvation. RNAcentral also lists the same sequence under 2 other names. Lineage: Bacteria; Pseudomonadati; Pseudomonadota; Gammaproteobacteria; Enterobacterales; Enterobacteriaceae. The record is from RNAcentral.
GAAGCGAGAGAACGUUGCGCCAGCAACGGCCCGCAGGGCGAGCCACGAAGUGGCGAGUAAUCCUCUAUCACCGACCA